RNAcentral lists this ribosomal RNA (468 nucleotides) under uncultured bacterium. RNAcentral's name for it is "partial 16S ribosomal RNA". It matches the Rfam family "Bacterial small subunit ribosomal RNA", at positions 28 to 507 of the family's 1533-position model. The record is from RNAcentral.
GACGAACGCUGGCGGCGUGCUUAACACAUGCAAGUCGAACGGAAAGGCCCUGCUUUUGUGGGGUGCUCGAGUGGCGAACGGGUGGGUAACACGUGAGUAACCUGCCCUUGACUUUGGGAUAACUUCAGGAAACUGGGGCUAAUACCGGAUAGGAGCUCCUGCUGCAUGGUGGGGGUUGGAAAGUUUCGGCGGUUGGGGAUGGACUCGCGGCUUAUCAGCUUGUUGGUGGGGUAGUGGCUUACCAAGGCUUUGACGGGUAGCCGGCCUGAGAGGGUGACCGGCCACAUUGGGACUGAGAUACGGCCCAGACUCCUACGGGAGGCAGCAGUGGGGAAUAUUGCACAAUGGGCGGAAGCCUGAUGCAGCAACGCCGCGUGCGGGAUGACGGCCUUCGGGUUGUAAACCGCUUUCGCCUGCGACGAAGCGUGAGUGACGGUAAUGGGUAAAGAAGCACCGGCCAACUACGUG